RNAcentral lists this ribosomal RNA (468 nucleotides) under uncultured bacterium. Its description in RNAcentral is "partial 16S ribosomal RNA". It matches the Rfam family "Bacterial small subunit ribosomal RNA", at positions 28 to 507 of the family's 1533-position model. The record is from RNAcentral.
GACGAACGCUGGCGGCGUGCUUAACACAUGCAAGUCGAACGGAAAGGCCCUGCUUUUGUGGGGUGCUCGAGUGGCGAACGGGGGAGUAACACGUGAGUAACCUGCCCUUGACUUUGGGAUAACUUCAGGAAACUGGGGCGAAUACCGGAUAUGAGCUCCUGCUGCGUGGUGUUGGUUGGAAAGAUUCGGCGGUUGGGGAUGGACUCGCGGCUUAUCAGCUUGUUGGGGUGGUAGUGGCUUACCAAGGCUUUGACGGGUAGCCGGCAUGAGAGGGUGACCGGCCACAUUGGGACUGAGAUACGGACCAGACUCCUACGGGAGGCAGCAGUGGGGAAUAUUGCACAAUGGGCGGAAGCCUGAUGCAGAAACGCCGCGUGCGGGAUGACGGCCUUCGGGUUGUAAACCGAUUUCGCCUGUGACGAAGCGUGAGUGACGGUAAUGGGUAAAGAAGCACCGGCUAACUACGUG